This 253-nucleotide ribosomal RNA is filed under the name uncultured bacterium. RNAcentral's name for it is "partial 16S ribosomal RNA". It matches the Rfam family "Bacterial small subunit ribosomal RNA", at positions 524 to 776 of the family's 1533-position model. The record is from RNAcentral.
GACGAACCGUGCGAACGUUGUUCGGAAUCACUGGGCUUAAAGGGCGCGUAGGCGGUCUAGCCAGUCCGGGGUGAAAGCCUCCAGCUCAACUGGAGAAGUGCCUUGGAUACUGCUGGACUCGAGCGAGGUAGGGGUGAUGGGAACUUCCGGUGGAGCGGUGAAAUGCGUUGAUAUCGGAAGGAACGCCGGUGGCGAAAGCGCAUCACUGGACCUCUUCUGACGCUGAGGCGCGAAAGCCAGGGGAGCAAACGGG